Long non-coding RNA from Paramisgurnus dabryanus, 793 nucleotides. RefSeq lists it as uncharacterized. Lineage: Eukaryota; Metazoa; Chordata; Actinopteri; Cypriniformes; Cobitidae. The record is from RefSeq and is a predicted model, not a curated record.
AGUGUUAGUGACGCUGAGUUAGACGUGACAUUCAUCGCAAUUUCCCCAGCGCUGGCUACAAGCUGAUACUAGGUCACUUGAGGUCAAAGCAACUUUUUGUCAAACGGAGCCGUGUACUGGCAUCGUUAAGGCGAGUAGACGCUGAAGGAGUUCUGAUGCGUAGGCUCUCACUACGCACCGUUAGACGAAGAGUGUACUCUGUACCAGCUCCCAAUAGCCUGUGGCAUGUUGACGGGAAUCAUAAGCUUAUAAGAUGGAGAAUAGUUGUGCAUGGUGGUGUUGAUGGGUUUUCACGGCUCAUUGUUUACCUGACUGCAGCAACAAACAACAGAGCCCAAACUGUUCUGGAAAGUUUCCUGUCAGCUGUGGAGCAGUUUGGCGUCCCCUCAAGAGUCAGAUCAGAUAAGGGAGGGGAAAACGUUCUGGUGGCACGCUUCAUGGUGACUAAUUGUGGAAUCAACAGGAACAGUCACAUUGCAGGAAGAAGUGUACACAAUCAAAGGAUCGAGCGACUAUGGAGAGAUGUUUUUGAAAAUGUCCUUGAUCUAUUCAACAGCACUUUCCUUCGUCUGGAAGCUGAGGGGUGGCUUAAUCCAGACAAGGAGACAGACCUCUAUGCUUUACAUAGAUGUUACAUGCCACACAUCCAGUCACAUCUGCAACAAUUUCAGAGAGCAUGGAACAACCAUUCCUUAAGAUCUGCAAGAAACCAGUCCCCUCUUCAGCUGUGGUCAAGCAAAGAAAGAGAUAGACACACACUACACAUUUCUCAGGUAUUUAAUCAAUAUGGAAC